UCAAGAAUUUCAUGCAUCUGCCUACAAUGGGAACAUAAUUGAAACUGGUAAAAUACACUAAAAAUGUCAAAUAUCACUAGUUUUCUUCUAAAUAAAAUCAUUUGUUUCAUUAACUGCAGUCAUU
This is a long non-coding RNA of Sphaeramia orbicularis (orbiculate cardinalfish), 124 nucleotides long. RefSeq lists it as uncharacterized. NCBI's taxonomy places the organism in Eukaryota, Metazoa, Chordata, Actinopteri, Kurtiformes, Apogonidae. The transcript is spliced from 4 exons. The record is from RefSeq and is a predicted model, not a curated record.